RNAcentral lists this ribosomal RNA (445 nucleotides) under uncultured bacterium. Its description in RNAcentral is "partial 16S ribosomal RNA". It matches the Rfam family "Bacterial small subunit ribosomal RNA", at positions 354 to 796 of the family's 1533-position model. The record is from RNAcentral.
GUGAGGAAUAUUGGUCAAUGGGCGAGAGCCUGAACCAGCCAAGUAGCGUGCAGGAUGACGGCCCUAUGGGUUGUAAACUGCUUUUACACGGGGAUAAAGUGUGCGACGUGUCGUUCAUUGCAGGUACCGUGCGAAUAAGGACCGGCUAAUUCCGUGCCAGCAGCCGCGGUAAUACGGAAGGUCCGGGCGUUAUCCGGAUUUAUUGGGUUUAAAGGGAGCGUAGGCCGUCUGUUAAGCGUGUUGUGAAAUGUAGAUGCUCAACAUCUGAAUUGCAGCGCGAACUGACCGACUUGAGUGCGCAGGAAGUAGGCGGAAUUCGUGGUGUAGCGGUGAAAUGCUUAGAUAUCACGAAGAACUCCGAUUGCGAAGGCAGCUCACUAAGCAAAUAUUGACGCUGAGGCACGAAAGCGUGGGGAUCAAACAGGAUUAGAAACCCCGGUAGUCC